RNAcentral lists this ribosomal RNA (1386 nucleotides) under uncultured bacterium. Its description in RNAcentral is "bacterial SSU rRNA". It matches the Rfam family "Bacterial small subunit ribosomal RNA". The record is from RNAcentral.
GAAUUCGCCCUUAGAGUUUGAUCCUGGCUCAGGACGAACGCUGGCGGCGCGCCUAACACAUGCAAGUCGAACGAGCGAGAGGAGGUUUACUUUCUCAAGCGAGUGGCGAACGGGUGAGUAACGCGUGAGGAACCUGCCUCAAAGAGGGGGACAACAGUUGGAAACGACUGCUAAUACCGCAUAAGCCCACGACCCGGCAUCGGGUAGAGGGAAAAGGAGCAAUCCGCUUUGAGAUGGCCUCGCGUCCGAUUAGCUAGUUGGUGAGGUAAUGGCCCACCAAGGCGACGAUCGGUAGCCGGACUGAGAGGUUGAACGGCCACAUUGGGACUGAGACACGGCCCAGACUCCUACGGGAGGCAGCAGUGGGGAAUAUUGCACAAUGGGGGAAACCCUGAUGCAGCGACGCCGCGUGGAGGAAGAAGGUCUUCGGAUUGUAAACUCCUGUUGUUGAGGAAGAUAAUGACGGUACUCAACAAGGAAGUGACGGCUAACUACGUGCCAGCAGCCGCGGUAAAACGUAGGUCACAAGCGUUGUCCGGAAUUACUGGGUGUAAAGGGAGCGCAGGCGGGAAGACAAGUUGGAAGUGAAAUCCAUGGGCUCAACCCAUGAACUGCUUUCAAGACUGUUUUUCUUGAGUAGUGCAGAGGUAGGCGGAAUUCCCGGUGUAGCGGGUGAAAUGCGUAGAUAUCGGGAGGAACACCCAGGGGCGAAGGCGGCCUACUGGGCACCAACUGACGCUGAGGCUCGAAAGUGUGGGUAGCAACCAGGGAUUAGAUACCCUGGUAGUCCACACUGGAAACGAUGAUUACUAGGUGUUGGGAGGAUUGACCCCUUCAGUGCCGCAGUUAACACAAUAAGUAAUCCACCUGGGGAGUACGACCGCAAGGUUGAAACUCAAAGGAAUUGACGGGGGCCCGCACAAGCAGUGGAGUAUGUGGUUUAAUUCGACGCAACGCGAAGAACCUUACCAAGUCUUGACAUCCUGCGACGCACAUAGAAAUAUGUGUUUCCUUCGGGACGCAGAGACAGGUGGUGCAUGGUUGUCGUCAGCUCGUGUCGUGAGAUGUUGGGUUAAGUCCCGCAACGAGCGCAACCCUUAUGGUCAGUUACUACGCAAGAGGACUCUGGCCAGACUGCCGUUGACAAAACGGAGGAAGGUGGGGAUGACGUCAAAUCAUCAUGCCCUUUAUGACUUGGGCUACACACGUACUACAAUGGCGUUAAACAAAGAGAAGCAAGACCGCGAGGUGGAGCAAAACUCAGAAACAACGUCCCAGUUCGGACUGCAGGCUGCAACUCGCCUACACGAAGUCGGAAUUGCUAGUAAUCGCAGAUCAGCAUGCUGCGGUGAAUACGUUCCCGGGCCUUGCACUCACCGCCCGUCA